Sorex araneus (European shrew) is the source of this 4437-nucleotide RNA transcript. It is a transcript of the gene named putative methyltransferase-like protein 21E, with no coding region annotated. The transcript has 2 exons. The record is from RefSeq and is a predicted model, not a curated record. Lineage: Eukaryota; Metazoa; Chordata; Mammalia; Eulipotyphla; Soricidae.
GAGAGAGCACUCCUGGGAACUGUAGUAGAGUCUCUGCACUUUUAAAACAAUUUUUAAAAAUAAAUUAAGCAUGGUCGUCAUGUUGUUUUAGAUAAUUGAUUUGGGAAUUUUAUCUCUUAAUACAAUUAAUCAUACAACUCUGAGGUUUUGGAGUAUAACUCAAUGAAAAAUACAGGUAGGUGAUUUUCAUUCACUAAAGAAUAUUUUGUUCUUUUUUUUUUCUUCAAAAAAUUUCUUUACACUUUAUGUAAACACUGUGGUUUACAAAGUUGUUCAUGAUGAUUUGUUACAGGCAUUCAAUAUUCCAACACCCGUGCCACCACCAUUACACCUUCCCCAGCCAUUGUCAAUAAUUUUUUGUUCUUGUUCUUGGGGGGAGGCGUAUAUAUAUGGAGAGAGACAGACAGAGAAACAGAGAGACAGAUGGAGAGACAGACAGAGAGACAGACGGAGAGACAGAGAGACAGACAGACAGACAGACAGAGAGACAGAUGGAGAGACAGAGAGACAGAGAGACAAACAGAGAGACAAACAAAGAGACAGACGGAGAGACAGACAGACGGAGAGACAGACGGAGAGAGCUCAUCCCUCGGCCUAGAAUUAACUGCCGGGAAUGGUCGUUUCCAUUGUUCACGACCUGCAGUUUCCAGGGUAUCUUUGCUCGUCUGUUUCACCCCACAAGUACUCAGCAAGUGCUUUUUAAAGAACUCCGUGAUUGGUACAUGUGGGAGCAAAGAAACACACAACAUAAAUUCUUAAAAUCACAAACUAUUAUUAUUCAGUUUUUGAUUUUUGAUUUUGGGGCCACGCCCAGCAGUGCUCAAGGCAUAGCCCUGGUGGGGCCCUGGGGCCACAUGGGCUUCUGGUGACGUGCAAGGCCAGUGCCCUGCCCACUGCACCGUCUCUCGCCCCCUCAAGCUUAUUGAAAGGAACAACUCAGUCAGGCCGCAGAGACUCUGCCCUUCCCAGUAUAUGAACAGGACACUGCUCAGUUCGUAGGCAAGCCAGCCUCAUCCAUGCCUCAGUCUUUCUCAGAACUGGUGACCCAGACGCCUGAACUUCUGUGAAUUCCCAGGGUUGCCUGGUUUUAUUAGAGACCUGGGAUCUCAGGAAUAGUAUGUCAGUGAUGUGAAGUUUCCAGACCGUCUGCGCUGCAGGGGCACACGGAAUGCUCAGGUGUUGGGGUGUCCCCCCACCCCAACAAGACACAGACACACAGACACACACCAGACACAGACACAGGCACACACGUACACACACCAGACACAAACACAGACACAAACAUAGACACACACACCAGACACAGACACAGGCACACACACACACCAGACACAAACACAGGCACACACACACAGCAGACACAGACACAGACAUAGAUACAGACACCAGACACAGACACAGACACAGGCACACACACUAGACACAGACACAGACAUAGACACACACACACACACACACACCAGACACAGACACAGACAUAGACACACACACCAGACACAGACACAGACACAGGCACAGACACAGACACAGACACAGGCACAGACACAGACGCACACACACACACCAGACACAGACACAGACAUUGACACACACACACCAGACACAGACACAAACACAGGCACACACACACACCAGACACAGACAUAGGUACAAACACACACCAGACAUAGACACAGACACAGGCACACACACACCAGACACAACAGACACAGACACAGACAUAGGCACACAUGCACACACCAGACACAGACACAGACAUACACACACCAGACAUAGACACACACACACACCAGACAUAGACACACACACACCAGACAUAGACACAGACACAGACAUACACAUGUGCAUGGGCGUGCGCAUACACACACAGACACACACACCCCCUCUCAGCAUUUACUAGAAGAAACCCUGAUGUCCUGCUCCCGUGCCCGUGCUCGGCUGCUCCCCUUCUCCAGUCUUCUGGUGUGACCCUCUGAGGCGACGAUGGAUGUUCGCACCAGGACAGGACGCACAAAGCACACAGCCCCGUUUCCCAGGACGUCACAGCUGGGUCCUGCCCGGGCCAGGCCCUGUCCCCACCUGUCGCAGGAGUGAGUGACGGUCAGCCAGCAGGCAGCCUGGCUCUGCCCAGGACACACCCCCCUGGAAUAUUCCUCCCGCUCUCCAGCCCUCUAUUUAUGGGCUCUGUGCUGGACGGUCUGAGCUCUGAGACCGAAGGCGUGAGAAUCCCAGGGCGUCGGUGAGGACUGGCCGUGGGCCCGGCCUUACAGUAGUGACUGUGGGCGUGGGACGCCCCUCGGGGCACCACCAGAGCUCAUGGCCGCAGAGCCAAGGCGGGGUGAUGCCUCUCGCUGCCCAGAAACGCCACGAGGCACGUCCACACCGAACAGUGAGUCGAUUUGGACCAUCAGCUGCCACUUUCUUUGCUAGAACAGAAGUUGGCUGGGGACGAGGCGGGGGACACUCGGCCGUGGGGAGAAGGGGGCGCCCAGCUGUGCCCCUCAGCACUUCAUCUUCCUGUCUGGGAACUGCAGGGAAAGUCCCUCGCCUCUGGGAGUUUUGGGGUCCUCAGGAGAGAGGAGUGCCGUGUAAAUCUGUGCUAGUAAUUACUUACACAGCACUCCUCGGGAAGGGCAAAGCAUCAGGUCAUGGUUUAUUCUAAAGUGAUUCUUUCCCCAAAGCUUAUUUAUUGGUACUCUGUGCUUUGAGAGCCUUCUAAUACUUCAGGCUCUUAUUUUCCCACGUGUCUGUUGGAAGAUUGUGAAGUGGAAACUGCCGACUGGCCAUUGGGUGGGUUGUUUGGGCUUGUAUGCUGAUGACUCUGCAGGAACACGGAGUUGUUGCUAUAUGGGAUGAGCACUGGAUUCCUUUACAGGAGUCUCCGGCGUGUCUUACUCUGCUUGAGUGAGACCCAUUUUCUCUCCGAGCGCUUGAAUCACUGCUUACAUUGCUUCCGUUUAAGAAUGCUAUCUUAUUAGUCAAGACGCUGUGUUCUUUCUCUAUGAAAAGAGUGGAUGAGACGGUUUUUGGGAAAGAAUGUGUUUUGUUCCCCCUACUGCCUCCCCCUCCCCUUUGGUCAUUCUCAACUUUUUGCAUCUGUAGCUUUUGUGCAAAUUAUGAUUAGAUGAGAUGGUGAGUCCAGGGCUUUCUUCAAUCAUGUUUUAUUAAUAUAUAAUACAUAACAUUUUUCUCUGUUUUUUUGAGCUUUGUUAGGUAAAUAUAAGACUCUUGGCAUGUUUGGAAUUUUCACUGUUUGCUAUUUUAAGGUAUUAUUUGCCUACUUUUACAAGAAACGAUCAAGAAAACAUCCAUCUAGAGGAAUCUAUUAGCUGACUGCUUAAUGGAUCCCGAAGCUCAAAAAGCUUAUUUCAUCCCGACAGGGAGCCCGAGGAGAGAUGCAAGGAGCUUCAUGGAAGACCGGAUGUCUUCACUCAUGCUUGCACGAAAGAUGCGCUUGGACUCUAGAAAACAUUUCUAGCUCGAGUGUUUAGUUUCUCUGACCUAUGACUUCAUGAAUACCUAGUGCAUUCUAGCCUCUGUCAGGAGAGUUAGUGUUCGAGUUAUAUCACCAGUCUUCGAAAUCAUCUCAGGCACCAAGGUUGGCUUCACCAAAGUUGCCAUGGUAUAACUAGCCUCAUGGUCUUGAGAGAAAAAGUGCAGAUGUACAUUUUUGACAUCUGCAAAGGUUAGAGUGACCACAUUUUGAGGAGGAUUUAUAGUACAAGUUUUAUUAUGUAGCUAUACUUACCCUCCUUAGGAGCACACUGUGACUAUUUUCUGAGCUCUCUGGUGCUGUCAUUUUCUCCUUUCAGGGAAGCCAGGUGGCUUCUGCCUAGGUGAGCAUAGCUCGCGGGUGUCUGUCCGCAAAGGCAGCCUGCGGGCCCCGUGUGGCUUCAACAUGAUCAGUUUCACUAGCGAGUUUUGCAACCAUAAACAUUUGAAGCCACAGUCACCAAGAGAAUCCAGCCACAGAGGUGAUUUGAGUGAAGAUGCGGUUUCUAGGUGAUGUGCACGUAAAAUGACAUCAUUAUCCUUCUCGUGGGUAGCAUUGUCUGGUUUCAACCAUCAUUUGGCAAAUUACAAAGGAAGUGGAAGGCACGGAAGGCAAGGUUGAGACAGAACCAGUUUGAAAAUGUUUUGCACCAUGAAUAAACACGCCCUUCGUCAUCUGUAUAACCAAUUAGAGAUUUAAAAAUAUGUUCCUGGCGCUCAGGGAUUAAGUGUGCUACUGGGCAGAGUCAGAUGGCGUUUUUUUGGAAAGACUUUCACUCACUAAAGGAACACUGUGUUCGCAAACCCUGAAGGUGACCGACCCCCCACCCUGUCCCAUCUCAACUCUGACAUCCUGGAAGGGGUGAGGCGGACUCACAGCCCAGUUCUCGUCUAUGCCAGCCCUGAGGGCCAAGAGUUAUAAAAUGUCACUUAUUUCUGCACAGA